GGACAAUUGUGAGUGCUCUGUUUCCUCUGCUUUCCUCUGCUUCAGCCUCAAGCUGCGCUGCUUCGUCCGCACCUUUGUCGCAGAGAAGUUUCCUCUUCUUCCUGGUGCCCUAGCUCGAGGUAGGGCUGCCGCCUUGCCGCGCCACCGCCGACCCCAGGAGCCCUCACCUGCACCUUGCCGCCUCCGACUCCAACGCGGCAUCGCGUCGCCCCCGCCCGCGGCGAUCUUCUUCGACAUUGGUUCUCGAGCUGUCAGACAGAUAUAUGGACAUGAUGAUUAUCAUAAGACUGGCAGGCGUUACAAGGUAUGUAUGUCAGCCUUCGUAGCUUUUCUCCGUUCCUAAAUACUACUCCCUCCGUCCGAAAAAAGUUGUCCCAAGCUUGUCUUUCAAAUGGAUGUAUCUAGCACUAACUUGGAGCUAUAUACAUCCAUUUGAGGGACAAGUUUCUUCGGACGGAGGGAGUACCUGGGAUAAAUUUUCAUCGAGAGAUAAUCCUUUUGGGUGGAUACUCAAGUAGCUCUCUCGAACUGAGGAUUCCAAAUAGUUAUCUUGAAUCUAUUAUUGGAUCUGAUGGUGCCAAUCUAGCGGAGAUCCGCCAGCCAGACCUCUGGUGCAAGAAUGAAGUUACUUGCAGCCCAUUCUGGCUGUCCGCCGGAAUACAUCAUAUGGAGAUUCAACGGUAUUGCCGGACCAAUUGAGAGAGGCACAAAGUCUCUGCAACCAGAACGGGCAGCCAUCACAGCCUUCUCGCGGCGUCCAUUGCCCAAGGUGGAACUACAUCCUAGUCUUGUGGUGGAGAACAACAGAGGAUGCAACUCCGGGAUGCAAGCGCUCUAUACUCGUUGUACAUGGAACCUGGAUGGUGGAAGUUGUUGUUACAUACAAUGCUGUUUAUGAACUUUGCAUCGCACAUCUUGCUGUUUUGCUGAUGGUCAGCACUCAGGAGACCAUAGUUUUCCAACUUAGAAUUCAGUUUGUAGCAAUAUGAGCAGGAAUUAAGUUACUAUUGAUAUUGGAUUUUACAUGAAACAACUUUUUUUGUUAUUG
Long non-coding RNA from Triticum aestivum (bread wheat), 1048 nucleotides. RefSeq lists it as uncharacterized. The transcript has 3 exons. The record is from RefSeq and is a predicted model, not a curated record. NCBI's taxonomy places the organism in Eukaryota, Viridiplantae, Streptophyta, Magnoliopsida, Poales, Poaceae.